This 288-nucleotide ribosomal RNA is filed under the name uncultured bacterium. Its description in RNAcentral is "partial 16S ribosomal RNA". It matches the Rfam family "Bacterial small subunit ribosomal RNA", at positions 28 to 313 of the family's 1533-position model. The record is from RNAcentral.
GACGAACGCUGGCGGCGUGCUUAACACAUGCAAGUCGAGCGGUAAGGCCCCUUCGGGGGUACACGAGCGGCGAACGGGUGAGUAACACGUGGGUGACCUGCCCUCAGCUCUGGGAUAAGCCUGGGAAACUGGGUCUAAUACCGGAUAUGACUCCAUGACGCAUGUCGUGGGGGUGGAAAGCCUUGUGCGGCUGGGGGAUGGGGCCCGCGGCCUAUCAGCUUGUUGGGUGGGGUGAUGGCCUACCAAGGCGACGACGGGUAGCCGGCCUGAGAGGGCGACCGGCCACAC